Solanum pennellii is the source of this 1260-nucleotide long non-coding RNA. RefSeq lists it as uncharacterized. The transcript has 3 exons. The record is from RefSeq and is a predicted model, not a curated record. NCBI's taxonomy places the organism in Eukaryota, Viridiplantae, Streptophyta, Magnoliopsida, Solanales, Solanaceae.
CAUUUAGAAGCUUCUCUGUAGCAACAAGGAUGGAACCAACAACAACACGAGGAGCUGAUUUUGCCGAGCUACCAAGAGGAGCUCUUGUUUGGUUGAACUGAUCAUCUAAUGUUGAUCCUUCUUGAAGUAUAAUUUCAUGUGGCAGAAGGGAGGAGGGGUUUGUUGUUCAUACUAUGGAAUUGGUAAUAAUUUUAUCCUUCUGCCUUCGUUGUACAGCAUUUACGUCUCUUCAAUGUUUGACAUGAAAUGCAAACCAUGACAUAUGGAAUUAGAACAAUAGAGGAUUGAGUUAUAUACUUUUCAAGCAAAAGAGAAAACAAUCUCAAAUUUACUACAUUUGCCAUUAACUAGCUUUCCUAAACAAGGCUGGGAAUUUUUAAUAAAAUUCUUGAAACUCUGGAACGUGGUUGUUUUAAUUAUUCCAAAAAUCCAUUCCACUAUAUGCCUUGGUGCUUAAUUCAAGUGGCAAAAGUUGAGGAAUUUAUGACUUAGAUAUCAAGUACGAGCCCUGCGCCAUGGCAUGUUAGCACCCCAUUAGACUACCAACAGUUUACACAUGUAACUAUUACUUUGGCCCGAGAUGGGGUUGUUGUUUAUACAGAUGCAGGUCUACAUAGGGAGAAGGAUAAAGAAAGCAUUGGAAUGGCGGCUAUAGAUAGUUGUGGUCAUUUUUUUGAUGCCUUUGGUACCCCUUAUUCAAUUUGUAGGGAAGGACAUAACUGCUGAAGCACUAGCAAUUCGGGAAGCUGUGGAAAGAGCACUACAAAAGGGUUGGUCAAAGGUUCACAUACUGAUGCAAAGAAUGUCAUACAAAUGUUGCAAAAGAAUUUGAUAACAUCUUUGGAAAUAGAGACCAUUUGCAAGAAUGUCUGGCAAUAGAUGAAGUCUUUUGAAGAAAUCGAGAAGGUGCAGGGACGAAAAGUGAGGCGGAAAGGUGGAGGAGGAGACGGUGCAGAUGGAGAGAGCAGAGAAUAUGGCGGCGGCGGAGGUAGUGGUUGUGGUGGUGGAGGUUGAGGUGAUGUCGUGAUGAUGAUGACGGAAGAGGGGGUGAGGGGACGGGGAGGGAGAGGGGGAGACAGGAGCUUUGUGUAAAUAACAAUAUCUGAUGACCUUUAAAAAUUAGUUCAUUAACAAUAAUCUCGAUUGUAAACAUUAAAGCUUUUAAAGAUUUUUAAUAUCAGCACCAGAAAUCCUAUUACAAUGCUCUGGUGAUGUGCCGACCUUUUCAUUUGAUAGCCAAAAUUAUGUGAUUGUCCUAUC